RNAcentral lists this long non-coding RNA (845 nucleotides) under Cottoperca gobio. Its description in RNAcentral is "lncRNA (ENSCGOG00000012173.1)". The record is from RNAcentral. Lineage: Eukaryota; Metazoa; Chordata; Actinopteri; Perciformes; Bovichtidae.
CUUGGAAGGACAAACUUGCACCUGGACUCAAUCAACGCUGAUUGGAGAGUGGCAGCAUGCCCACAUUCACACUCGCAGCUGACACACCAUGCAGUUCUGCACAGUGGAGGCUAAUAAUCAAACUCUACUAGACUUGUAACUAAUGUAAAUGCCUUCACUUCAUAUUUAACUUGCAAACAUCCAGAAGCAUGAUACGACAUCAGUUGAGCAGGAAGCCGCUGCAUGAGCAAGAGCUUUAGAUCUCUCGUCUGUGGAUGUGUUGGCAUGCAGACCGGUUUUGGCUCAGUUUUGGGAUGAUGUCAACGCCUUCAGCAGAUGCUAUUGCAUCACAUAAAAAAAGAUGCAUUGCUGCAGAUCUUCCUCUCACUCCUAACGUGUGCAUUCUGGCCACGGGCAACAACUUCACAUCCAGUCCUGUCACUGAUAUGGCAACCGAGGAUUCUGGGAGCGCUCCCAAAGCUGCGUUGCAUCGCUUGACAAAAGGUGUGACACCCCAGUGGAGACCCAGCAGUCUGUGUGGCGGCAGAGGAGCAGCAUGGAGCGGCUAUUUUUACCUGAAGCCCAGGAGUGAGCUCCACACAGAAGGUGAAGCGGUGAGGAGAGUGGAAUUUGGGCAACGUUUGGGAAUGUGAAUUGGGUAACGUUAAUCAUCUGGACAGCAGAGACAUUAACUGUGCAUGAAGCUCGGUCUCUGGACAGUGUGUGUGUGUGUGUGUGUGUGUGUGUGUGUGUGUGUGUGUGUGUGUGUGUGUGUGUGUGUGUGUGUGAGAAUCAGAGAGAGUGGCGCGGUGUGUUUCUCUGUGCAUCUGGGGGAGAGGACAUACUGUAGUGUUUGUGUGCCUGUG